UCUAAGGGUCCGUUCGUUUAUCACACCCAAAUCUUGAUGUCGAGGAUCUCAGUCUUCAACGUCACCAUCUGAAAAUUUACUCUUGUUGGGUUGUUUCGCCCGACAAGACUAGACCUAGCAAUGACAAGCAAAGUAGAGAAAGUAAAGUAAAGAAAACAAUAGAAAAGAAAUCAACAAAAAAGCAAGAGUAGAAAAGAGUAUUAGCCGUUUCUAAGAUUUUGAGCAGCGACUCUCUACAAUGUUUACACUGUUUACAUUGUAGGAAUAGUCGCUUGCAAUGAAUAGCUGCAUCGCUACUAGAACUAUUGCAUGUGAAACAGUAAAUACCAGACUAGAAAGAUGAGAAGACCACUAGAGAAGAAGGACUAGAGGAGAAAAGGGACUAGAGGAAAAAAGGAACUAGAGAAAAAGGACCAGAGAAAAAAUGAUUAGAUGAGUAAGUGAGUUAGAAAAAAAACAAUUAACCACAAAAAAAAAUAAAUAAAAAAUAAAAAUAAAACAAUCAAGAGCAUGCCUUAUUUGUCAGCAACCUUCCUUUAUUAGACAGCGUCAACACAUCUCAAUACAAAAUCUUCAUCUCACUUCCUCCUAUACUUCAACACAGCAUCUUCCACCUUGUCUUUUUGCUUGCCCCGCUGCCGCCCUUCAAGCUCGUCGGUACUUGUUCUCAUAUUCGGUUUUACCUCGGAUGCUGUUACCUCGAUACCAGGUUGGGUCACCUAAUUUUCUUGCAAAAGUCCGUUAUCCCAAGUUGUCCCA
Molecule: non-coding RNA, 759 nt
Organism: Schizosaccharomyces pombe (fission yeast)
Lineage: Eukaryota; Fungi; Ascomycota; Schizosaccharomycetes; Schizosaccharomycetales; Schizosaccharomycetaceae
Source: the annotation of a GenBank genome assembly